Molecule: long non-coding RNA, 2174 nt
Filed under: Physcomitrium patens
Lineage: Eukaryota; Viridiplantae; Streptophyta; Bryopsida; Funariales; Funariaceae
Description: long non-coding RNA (PPAT_LNC006375)
Source: RNAcentral
UACAUACAGUCUAAUUCUCUCUCUCUAUAUAUAUAUUUAUUUAUUAUAUACACAAAUAUGAAUCUAAUUCUAUAUAUAUACACAAUCUAAUUCUUUCUCUCUCUACAUAUAUAUACACACAUAUACAUAGUCUAAUUCUCUCUCUCUAUCUAUCUAUCUAUAUAUAUACACACACAAUCUAUAUUUUAUCUCUCUCUCUCUAUAUAUAUUUUUUUCUCUCUUUCUCUAUAUAUAUACACAUGAGUCUAAUAAUACAUAUGUACAUAUAUAGUCUCUCUUUCUUUUUUUUCACUCUCUCUUCAUAUAUGUAUAUAUAUAUAUAUAUACACACACACAGUCUCUUUUUUUCUUUUCUUUUUUUUCUUCUCUCUCUCUAUAUAUAAGUUUAAUUCCUUAUUUCAAACUUUUAAUAUGAUCCUUCAGUAUGUCAAGUAAGAAUAUGUUGUAUCAAUAAUUUUCACUUGUACAUUUUCAAUUUUGAAUUUAAACAAUGAGAUAGAAAUUACACAAAUCAGGUUAAAAAAAAUUAAAAAGGAAAUAGAAAAAAAAGCAUUUAUGAUGAUGGAUAAAUGAAUGAAAUAAAAGUGCAAAUGCAUUGUUUAUAAAUAUUACAAAAGGUCACCUUUUAUUACAAUUUAUUUUUUGACCUAAAAAUUAUGUUAAGUUUUAAAAUAUCAAAUAAUUCAUCUAUCUUUUGUUUCCGAAGGCUCUACAGUAAUCUUUUUAGUUAAUAUUAUUUUUUAAAUAUAAAUAAGUAAAUAACACUUCUUUACAUAAAUCAAGAGUUCUCCAUAAAUAAACCAACAACUCUUGAUUUAUGUUGACAGCCAUUUGUUGUACAAAGUACAAAUGUUUUGAAUGGAUGGUAUUUCCUUUUUUGCAUCAGAUUGGAUGUCUAUUAAUGAAAUUUUCUCGAUACAAGUGAUAAUGCACUAGCUUUUUUGAAUACAUCGUCCCAAAAAAUAGGACCUAAAUGACCUUGUGUUUGUAUUAUUUUCAUUCUACAUCCUUUGUUGAAUAUUAUUAUUUUCCAGGUAUUUGAAUAUCUAACAAAGGAAACAUCUGACAAAAAAGAUAUCUCGGAUUACUCCAAGAAAAAUUUGCAAUCAAUUCCAAUUCCUCUUUUGAUCCACUAUUGAAGGAUACAAAGUUUAAAUAUAUGACAACAAUAUACACAACAAAAACACUUUUUCACUUGUCUCUCUUUUUCCAAUCUAACAAGUACAUACUUCAUGCUCACUUUCGCCAAGUUUUUGGAAAAGAAAAAUAAAGAAAAAUAGAUGAAAUAAGUGGUACUUCAAUACAGGCAAUAUAACCACAUAACUCUCCAAAACUUUUCAAAGACAUCAUGGUGACUCAUGGUAGUGAAAAGGGGUGGGUAUUUCUUUUGAAAAUUCUCCUUUCUCACUUCAUACACACAAAGUGCUGCAUGGUAUAAGAUGUGUUUUGAAACUAUUUAUUUAUUGUUAUUACCCGUAAUAGUCUUAUUAUUGUUGUUAUUAUUACCGUUAUUAUUUAGGAGUUUCAUUUUUCAUUUUCUUUUCACAUAGCAUUUUGAAUGAAGUUCACUGUAAUUGUCAUGUUUGUUGAGCAUUCAUUAUGCAUAAGUUGAUGCAUAUAGAAUCAAAGAUGUAUGGAAAUUGUUAAUACUGGUAGUAUAUUUGUUGGUAUUUGCAAUAAUUUGGUUCAUGAUACCUGUAAAUAAAUAAAUAAUUAAUUAUAUCCUAUGUUAUACAAAAACAAAUUUAUUAUAAUUCAAAAUAUUUACACACAUCUGUCAUGUGACAUGUUUAAACAAUUUAUUGAUUUUUCUUCAAUUUAAUGCAGUUCAAUAUAGAACACAAUCAAAAUCGAUGCACUAGUGCAAUUAGUAUGCACUGCUUUAUUGCAAGCAAAUAUAUUUUUUUCCAUUAUUUAUUAUUUAUUUGUGAUGACAAUUAUCUACUGUGUUUGCAAAGAAAUGUGUUAAAACGAAACAUUGAUAUUAUCCCAAUCCACGUGUUUGUUUUGAAAAUGUUUUAUGCCUGAUUUCAGGCAAUAUAGAAUUUAAAAAAAAAACCAUAAUUGGCACUAAAUAAACAUAAUAAACAUAAUAAACAUUAUUUAAUUUUGAAAUUUGUCACACUGUACAAAAAUUAUUCAUCUCAAUGGAACAUAACCUAGAUUCUGUCGUA